UACGUAGGGUGCAAGCGUUAAUCGGAAUUACUGGGCGUAAAGCGUGCGCAGGCGGUGAUGUAAGACAGUUGUGAAAUCCCCGGGCUCAACCUGGGAACUGCAUCUGUGACUGCAUCGCUGGAGUACGGUAGAGGGGGAUGGAAUUCCGCGUGUAGCAGUGAAAUGCGUAGAUAUCAGGAGGAAUACCGAUGGCGAAGGCAGGUCUCUGGGCUGACACUGACGCUCAUGCACGAAAGCGUGGGGAGCAAACAGG
This 253-nucleotide ribosomal RNA is filed under the name uncultured bacterium. RNAcentral describes it as "partial 16S ribosomal RNA". It matches the Rfam family "Bacterial small subunit ribosomal RNA", at positions 524 to 776 of the family's 1533-position model. The record is from RNAcentral.